RNAcentral lists this ribosomal RNA (275 nucleotides) under uncultured bacterium. RNAcentral describes it as "partial 16S ribosomal RNA". It matches the Rfam family "Bacterial small subunit ribosomal RNA", at positions 399 to 691 of the family's 1533-position model. The record is from RNAcentral.
GCGUGAGUGAUGAAGGCCUUAGGGUUGUAAAGCUCUUUUACCCGGGAAGAUAAUGACUGUACCGGGAGAAUAAGCCCCGGCUAACUCCGUGCCAGCAGCCGCGGUAAUACGGAGGGGGCUAGCGUUGUUCGGAAUUACUGGGCGUAAAGCGCACGUAGGCGGCUUUGUAAGUCAGAGGUGAAAGCCUGGAGCUCAACUCCAGAACUGCCUUUGAGACUGCAUCGCUUGAAUCCAGGAGAGGUGAGUGGAAUUCCGAGUGUAGAGGUGAAAUUCGU